RNAcentral lists this ribosomal RNA (206 nucleotides) under uncultured bacterium. Its description in RNAcentral is "partial 16S ribosomal RNA". It matches the Rfam family "Bacterial small subunit ribosomal RNA", at positions 568 to 774 of the family's 1533-position model. The record is from RNAcentral.
AGUGUAGGCGGCUACUUAAGUCGGAUGUGAAAUCCCCGGGCUCAACCUGGGAAUUGCAUUCGAUACUGGGUAGCUAGAAUUUGGUAGAGGUAAGUGGAAUUCCGGGUGUAGCGGUGAAAUGCGUAGAUAUCCGGAGGAACAUCAGUGGCGAAGGCGGCUUACUGGACCAAAUUGACGCUGAGGCUCGAAGGCGUGGGGAGCAAACA